Molecule: ribosomal RNA, 507 nt
Filed under: marine metagenome
Description: bacterial SSU rRNA
Rfam family: Archaeal small subunit ribosomal RNA
Source: RNAcentral
GUGUAAUGAACUUACCGGAUUGUUCGAGAGGUAGUGUAUGGCCGCCGUCAGUUCGUACCGUAAGGCGUUCUGUUAAGUCAGAUAACGAACGAGACCCUCAUCUCUAUUUGCCACCAGAUCUCCGGAUCUGACGGGACUAUAGGGAGACCGCUGGCGCUAAGUCAGAGGAAGGGGAGGGCAACGGUAGGUCAGUAUGCUCCGAAUGCUAUGGGCUACACGCGCAAUACAAAGGACGGGACAAUGGGAAGCCAGAUCGAGAGAUCGAGCUAACCCGAAACCCGUUCAUAGUUCGGAUUGUGGGCUGUAACUCGCCCACAUGAAGCUGGAUUGCGUAGUAAUCGUGUUUCAACAUAGCACGGUGAAUAUGCCCCUGCUCCUUGCACACACCGCCCGUCGUUUCAUUGAAGUGAGCUUUUAGCGAGGUGACGUCUGAUUGGCGUUAUCGAACUUGAGGUUCGUGACAAGGGAAAAGUCGUAACAAGGUGACCGUAGGGGAACCUGCGGUCG